This is a long non-coding RNA of Trichosurus vulpecula (common brushtail), 947 nucleotides long. RefSeq lists it as uncharacterized. Lineage: Eukaryota; Metazoa; Chordata; Mammalia; Diprotodontia; Phalangeridae. The transcript is spliced from 2 exons. The record is from RefSeq and is a predicted model, not a curated record.
GCAGAGAGCUGAGCUAGCACCCUGCAGCCAACGCCACCACCCGCUCACCCGCGUGCUCCUUCGCGCAGCUGCUACCGCCACUACCCCAGCGCCGCGCGGCUCCUCCGGAGCGAGGAUUGUCAUCGGUCCGCUCGCUUUCUAACAGCAGGAUCUCUUCCCCAGCCUGACCAGGAUGUCUGAGCAGAAAGCUCUUCAAUCCCUGCCGCUGAGUGAGGCCAAUCCUUCACCUCUGCAACCUGCAGAUCCAGAAGUUAAUCAAACUAUAACUGAAUUGGCCAAACGAAUUGUAGAAAUUGGAGACAAGUUGUAUUUUGAAUAUCUUCUUCAAAAUGUGCUGUCCACCUUUGCUGACACAACUUGAAGUUAACUGACAGAUGGCUUUAACAGUGAAGAUCUUUAGUAUGUUCACCUUGUAAAAGGUUGCUUAUAAGGAUAUCCAUUCUCUUCAACCAUGGAAAAUCAAGAGCAAGAGGAUGCUUGGGAAGAGUUUUGCUCAGCAUUUUUCAACAAGGUUCAGUGUGAAAAAACAUGGACCUUGUUCACAAUUGUCUAAGUUAGAUCUGCUUUAUAUAUAUGACCACAGAAUGUAUUUCAAUCUGCAUACAUUGACCAUGUAAUUUCCAACUACAGGUGUACGUGAAGAACUUGAGUUCUUACAGCUGCAUUUUGGGCCUUAUCUGGAUUCUCCCUGAAACAAUCACUUUUACAAAGAACAUUGUGAAUUGGACUGGUUUGGUUCCUUUAAGAAACAAUUUUAGCAGAAUUUGGCAGGAUUUUUGUAUUUUUGUUUUCCACACUACGCUUUUGGUUCUUUUAGCUCUGGGACUUAUUUAUUUAAUUUAUGGUUAAAUUCUGUGAUUAGCCCCUUUUUGUAUUUAAAAGGUGAUAUGCAAUGUGAAUCUUUUAGGUUUAUAUUGUAAUAAAGCUUAUCCAAACUUGGAUUAACA